Molecule: long non-coding RNA, 1247 nt
Organism: Oncorhynchus kisutch (coho salmon)
Lineage: Eukaryota; Metazoa; Chordata; Actinopteri; Salmoniformes; Salmonidae
Exons: 3
Source: RefSeq, a predicted model, not a curated record
CACGAGCAAGACAGGAUGAGGUAAAUUAAUCUCAAACGGAUCUUCUUAAGUAAAUUCCUAUUUUGUCUGUGUUCAAUUUUUUUUUGUGAAAAGGCAUGACAGUCGUUCGCUUACCAUGUGAAAUAUAAUUAUAUAUUUCAAACUGAUAAAACUGACGAAGGUGAUGAGAAAUUGGUACGGGAAGUUGAACAUUUAAUGCGGAAAAGACAGGUAACAAGACAAGAACAGCGUCAGCACACAGCUGAAGAGGUAAGACCACUAGAAAGCAGCAUGUUGCCAGACCACCAAAGGACCCUGGAGGCCACUGCAUGCUGUGACAAGGGCCUGGAUGGUGAAACACACGAGCUUCAAACUGCCUGCCUGAAAACUGAGGCCUUCAGUGGUACCUUCCCUUUGAUUACAGCAAGAGUCGCCUUAUUUCUUUCUCGUAGACAUUUAACAUGUACUUUAUGUAAUCACUCAAAUUCACAGAAAAUACUAGGAACACAAGAACUGACUUAUACUGAACAAAACUGUAAACGCAACUUGUAACAAUUUCAAAGAUUUUACUGAGUUACAGUUCAUAUAAGGAAAUCAGUUAAUUGAAAAAGGAAUUAGGGCCAAAUCUAUGGAUUUCACAUGACUGGGAAUACAGAUAUGGAUCUGUUGAUCACAGUACCUUUAAAAAAAGGUACAGGCGUGGAUCAGAAAACCAGAUAUUGUCGGGAACUGGAACAGUCUGUCGUACACGUCGAUCCAGAGCAUCCCAAACAUGCUCCAUGGGUGAACUGUCUGGUAAGUAUGAAGGCCAUGGAAGAACUGGUACAUUUUCAACUUCAAGGAAUUUUGUAAAGAUCCUUGUGACAUGUGGCUGUGCAUUAUCAUGAUGAAACAUGAGGUGAUGGUGGAGGAUGAAUGGCACGACAAUGGGCCUCAGGAUCAUUUCAUUUUAUCUCUUUGCAUUCAAAUUGCCAUCGAUAAAAUGCAAUCGUAUUCAUUGUCCAUAGUUAAUGCCUGCCCUUACCAUAACCCCGCGCCACCACAGAGCACUCUGUUCACAACAUGGACAUAAGCAAACCACUUUCCCACAUGACACCAUUCUCGUGUUCUGCAGUUGUGAGGAUGGUUGGACAUAUUUAUUAGACGCUUUAUUACAGAAAGAAAUAGUCCUCAGUUUCAUCAGCUGUCCGGGUGGCUGGUCUCAGAUGAUCCCAAAGGUCCUGGGCUGGCGUGGUUAUAUGUGGUCUGCGGUUGUGAGAUGUACUGCC